Molecule: long non-coding RNA, 1453 nt
Organism: Glycine soja
Lineage: Eukaryota; Viridiplantae; Streptophyta; Magnoliopsida; Fabales; Fabaceae
Exons: 2
Source: RefSeq, a predicted model, not a curated record
CUUCCUUUUGAACCAUUGAGCCAAAUUGAAGUCUCAUUCUUUGUCAAAUAGGAUUUGUAAUUUGAAUAGUAUAUAAGACGAUGAUAUUUUCGUAAACAAGAAGGUCAGACACACCGCCGCCGUGGGACCCACCCACAAUGUAUUUUAUAGCUAAAAUUAUUAAAAUUAGGUCAUGGUGGUUUUGGUGGUGGCAGUGGGUUCAGAGGUGGUGGUAAGAGUGACAGAGGCAGAGGAAGGGGGGUUGGAGAAAGAGGAGGAAACAGGGGCACACCCUUCAAAGCUAGAGGCAAUGAUCCUUCAUGGAGGGCCUCAUGAUGUCUCUUUGUCAUACUUUUCAAAGUAUUUGGUUUUUCUAUCUUCAGUUGGAUACAACUUGCUAAUUGUAUAGGUAGCAAAUAUACUCUUGAACUUUCAAGCAUUAGUUUGGGCCAAUAUAGUUAAACUUAUGCCUAGAGAGAUGGAUGGCCCUCAUACAGAUAAAAAUGGAUUUAAGGCUGUUGCUUUUUUAUGAAAAAUAAGCUUAAUUGACUUAAUUUACUAGCUUGCAGUACCUAUUAAAGAGGAUUAAUUGUAGAACCUGUAUGUUACAACAUUUGAAUCCCUCCAAAAUGAAGCAAGUUUAGAGUGGGGGAAAAAUCAGAUUGAUAGAGAAAAUAAAGAACAUGACUCUUUGAAAAAUAAGUUUAGGGUUUAAAUGAUAAUGUUAGCAUAUAUAAAGUUUAAAUAGUAUCCCUUGAAGUCAAAUAAUACCCAGACUGAUAUUGGAAUGAGAAACAAAUGUUGAAACCUGUCUAUAAGAGCUACAUUAGAAAUUGAAAUGAUUUAUGACCUGGGAAUUGUGGACAAAAGGAUGUUUAGGGUCUAUUUUGACUUCAAAAUAAUAGAGAGGUUGAAGAGUUGAAAGUGAAAGGCUGGUCCUUCUUUUUAUUGUGAUAUAACGAGUCUAAAUAGACAUUUUAAUUAAAUUUCCUGGAUAGAAGUCUUUUAUGCCAUCUGUAUCCUAAUUAUAUGUUUAAAAGUUUGUGAUACUGAGACUGCUUUUCUUUUGGAAAUGAAUGUCAUUGUCAACACCCUUGAGAGAAACCCAAUAUGAUCACAAAUAGCAUAAAAAAUGUUAUGAAUAAGAGCAGAAAACAGCAGGACGCAGAGCAAGAACCAAAACCAAAGAAGGAAGAAAGGGCAAGGAGGGAAAUCUACAAACCUCAGUACCUCAGAUGCUUCGUAUAGGAGGCUGAGCUGGCAGCAGAUUAGUGCUCUUCCACGAUUGUUGUCGGCUAUUAUCCAAAUUCUGUUAGAAAUGUUUAUUUUGAUUUCCUCCGAGGCAUAUAAUGCCAAAAGCUGUUAUAGGCUCAAACUCUAUAUAUACUGAAAACAUGUAUUCAAAUGGCAAGCAGAAAAUUAAAGUCUUAUUCCCUCUUAUCUUAGCUUUUCUGGAGGAAUCCAGGACCUCGAA